UUUUCCAAAUUUUCCAAGCCGCAGUGUAUUCAUCUCUGACCUGUCUUUAUUUCGCUCUGCUUUUCUGUGUUAUUGCACGCUUGCUUUUAUUGUUUCCUGUUUAAAUCGAUACAAUUAAGUGUCAAGUCUGCAUAUAGACCGGAUUUUGUCACGAUUAAAGAUGUUUAAAAGAGGUCAUUUCACAGACAGGAAUCUACAGAUAGCAUCUGAGAAACCUGAAAACUUCAAAGACAUUGGUAGUAGAUAUGAGUCCACAGACAAGACAAAAAAUGCAGAAAAUGAGUUUUUACAAACUUUUGAG
Ruditapes philippinarum (Manila clam) is the source of this 301-nucleotide long non-coding RNA. RefSeq lists it as uncharacterized. NCBI's taxonomy places the organism in Eukaryota, Metazoa, Mollusca, Bivalvia, Venerida, Veneridae. The transcript is spliced from 3 exons. The record is from RefSeq and is a predicted model, not a curated record.